AGCAGCCGCGGUAAUUCCAGCUCCAAUAGCGUAUAUUAAAGUUGUUGCAGUUAAAAAGCUCGUAGUUGAAUUUUGGGUCUGGCCGGGCGGUCCGCCCUCUGGGUGAGCACUGUUCCGACGCCGGGCCUAUCCUUCUGGUGAGUCGGCAUGUCCUUUGUUGGGUGUGUCGGGGAACCAGGACCAUUACCUUGAAAAAAUUAGAGUGUUCAAAGCAGGCGUAUGCUCGGAUACAUUAGCAUGGAAUAAUGAAAUAGGACGCGUGGUGCUAUUUUGUUGGUUUCUAGAACCGCCGUAAUGAUUAAUAGGGAUAGUUGGGGGCAUUAGUAUUCAAUUGUCAGAGGUGAAAUUCUUGGAUUUAUUGAAGACUAACUUCUGCGAAAGCAUUUGCCAAGGAUGUUUUCAUUAAUCAAGAACGAAAGUUAGGGGAUCGAAGACGAUCAGAUACCGUCGUAGUCUUAACCAUAAACUAUGCCGACUAGGAAUCGGGCGAUGUUAUUC
This 498-nucleotide ribosomal RNA is filed under the name uncultured Ambispora. RNAcentral describes it as "SSU rRNA". It matches the Rfam family "Eukaryotic small subunit ribosomal RNA", at positions 569 to 1068 of the family's 1831-position model. The record is from RNAcentral. Lineage: Eukaryota; Fungi; Glomeromycota; Glomeromycetes; Archaeosporales; Ambisporaceae.